Molecule: RNA transcript, 1306 nt
Organism: Vicia villosa (hairy vetch)
Lineage: Eukaryota; Viridiplantae; Streptophyta; Magnoliopsida; Fabales; Fabaceae
Gene name: rRNA biogenesis protein rrp36-like
Exons: 2
Source: RefSeq, a predicted model, not a curated record
AAAAAUGUGUAGAAAACAAAUGGUGUAUAGCGGCCGCAAGAUACAGAGGGGAGAUUUGGACCCCAGCGACCCUUUCCCCACUCGAUGAACUCGACCCCUUCUCUUUCUUUCAAUUCAAGAAGAACCUUCAAGUUUCGUCUAGAUUCAACUUUCAAGCAGUGCCGUCAAGGGAAAGGUAAACACGCUCAACAAAACCUAAUCAAAACGAUGGUGUUGUGCGAAACCUAAUUCAAACGACACUCAACCUUAUCAAAACAAAUGAUUCACGCACGUUAUCAAAUGAUGCUUGUGUUUCUCAUUGGGGAAAAGAUUCACGCCAUCGUAUCACCGCUGUUGUAUUGUUGUGCGUCUUCUUGCUAUGUGACCCCUUCGUGCUAUUCCCGUUAUCAAACGAUGCUCUGUUUCUCAUUGUGGAAAAUGAUUCACGCCUUCGUAUCACUGUAUCACCGCUGCUUGUAAUCUUGUUCAUAUUGUUGUGUUGAUGUGUUGCUCAUGUUUCUCGUGUUACUGCCGGUGUGAUUGGUAUCAUCUUUUUUCUACUUUUUCUGUAAGUGUGAUUAUUUUUAACAAACUCUAUGGCCAUUACUGUUAUACACUUAGUAAUUUCAUUAAGAUAGAUAUAAAUAGAUCCAUAUGCAAGACGUUAACAUGUUCAUAUAACACCGAGUUUUUCUCCAAGAGCAUUUUGCUGAUAUCUCAUUUAAUUAAAUUGUCAUUAAGAGUUUCACAUAAUAUUGUUGAAACCUUGGUUCAUGUGUGCUUUUAAAUCUCGUUGUUUAAUGUAUUGAACUUUUUUGUGGCUGUUAAGUUGAGUGACUGACUUAAUUUUCAAAAUAGUCGGGAGUGAAUAAGUUUUCCUAUUUCCUCUCUGAAGUUAUACACUAAACAUGCAUUUGAUGAUAUUAGAAGUUUGUAAAAUGAUUCCCUUCAUAUAUUUUCUCUCUGUGAUCUAAAUAAGUCGAUAGGUAAAUCAAUUUUAAUUUUUGAACUAGCAAUGGAAUGUUUGAAAUAGUCCAACUAAGGUGUCGGGUUGUCAUAAUAAUUAUUCAAUGAAAAUUUGAGAAAGGCUAUGAAAUUGACAGGGUUCUUAGUUGUAAGACGGAAUCUUAUACGGGGGAGGGACUAAUUUGUAAAUCAAAGUGGGUGGGAAAGUUAGUUGCAAGAAAAAGAAAAAAAAAUUAUGUUAUGGAGGGUUGAUUAGAGGGAGAGAAGUGGUUGUGUGUUUCCACUUCAGUUUCAACCUAUAGCUAGGGGCCAUGAAUUUUACUUAUUUGCUCUUAAUUCCAAUAUAUUUUUCUUCUAUGCA